RNAcentral lists this ribosomal RNA (492 nucleotides) under uncultured bacterium. RNAcentral describes it as "partial 16S ribosomal RNA". It matches the Rfam family "Bacterial small subunit ribosomal RNA", at positions 29 to 507 of the family's 1533-position model. The record is from RNAcentral.
AGUGAACGCUGGCGGUAGGCCUAACACAUGCAAGUCGAACGGCCGCACAGUAAGAGCUUGCUCUUACGGGUGGCGAGUGGCGGACGGGUGAGGAAUACAUCGGCAUCUACUUUUUCGUGGGGGAUAACGUAGGGAAACUUACGCUAAUACCUCAUAUGACCUACGGGUGAAAUCAGGGGAUCUUCGGACCUUGCGCGAUUGAAUGAGCCGAUUUCGGAUUCAGUAGUUUGGGGGGUAAAGGCCCACCAAGGCGACGCUCCGUAGCUGGUCUGAGAGGAUGGUCAGCCACACUGGAACUUAGACACGGUCCAGACUCCUACGGGAGGCAGCAGGGGGGAAUAUUGGACAAUGGGCGCAAACCUGACCCAGCCAUACCGCGUGGGUGAAGAAGGCCUUCGGGUUGUAAAGCCCUUUUGUUGGGAAAGAAAAAAAGCAGGUUAAUACCCCGCUGUUCUGACGGUACCCAAAGAAUAAGCACCGGCUAACUUCGUG